RNAcentral lists this unclassified non-coding RNA (406 nucleotides) under Hevea brasiliensis (rubber tree). The record is from RNAcentral. Lineage: Eukaryota; Viridiplantae; Streptophyta; Magnoliopsida; Malpighiales; Euphorbiaceae.
AAAUAAAAAAUGAAAAAAAAAAAACCCUAUUAUCAUGUAUCAAUUGAUAAUCAUGAAGUUACAAGAGGACAAGGAAUUUUUUAGACAAGUUUUAUUGGGAUGUUCAAUUUGAUGAUAUAACUGGCUUGAGAAGUCACUGUUGAGAGACAAAUUUGUAAUGGUUAGAAGCAUAAGUGAACUUUUGGAAAAUAAUACUCUGUGUGUUUGUGUGUGUAUAUAGUUAUCUAUAUUAAUAAUAGGGGUUGGAAGAAAAAAGGGGGAAAGAGGGGGUGCAUUUUCUAGUGACAUUCUCAUGUUGGAAUGGUUUCAUAUCUAUGUGGAGUUUGGCAUUGCUCUUGAUAUACGUCAUAACAUUAAAUUCUUUUCAUUUUGUUUUGGUUUCCAAUUGAUGCAGGGAACUUCUAAA